UGAAUUAGAAAACAAAUAGCACCCUAAAAAAUGAGAAAAGACAAUCGUUUUUAUAUAAGAAUGUCAUAAACAAAGUCAAAACCUUGCUAAUUUAGUGGGAAUUGUUAAAUCUUUUUUUAAAAAUAAAAAACGUUUUCAGAUCCUGGGCCUUUGGUUAGGUUGCAAGUGGGUGGGAAAGGCAGGUCUUGGUUUUGGUUUUUAUAAAAACUUUAUAAAAACAUUAAGCUACCCUGCUAUUUUCUUGGAAUUUGAAAUUUUGCAGGAGCUCAAAUUCGAAUCUUGUGGAUGUCCGACUCAACUUCUUCUUCUACUCCUCUUUCUACCUCUUGCACUGACCCAACCUCAGCGACUACGAUUUUACCAAAUUUCUCUCAACUUGUGUCUAUCAAGCUUGAUGGCAAAAAUUAUCUCGCCUGGGUUGCCAAAUUUCUUCCCAUACUUUGUAGCGAUGAUCUUUUGGGGAUGGUGGAUAGUUUUGAACCCUAUCCACCAAAGUUCUUGCCUAAUGAUACUUUUGUGGGGCUUCCAUGUAUGCAAUCCAUACUUCACGACAGGCAUGGACAGCAUUGUCCAAUCGUUAUGACUCUCAAUCACGGUCAAGGAUUUCUCAUCUCAAACAACAACUUCAGAGUCUACAACAAGGGAGUAGAGCUGUACAGAAUAUCUCAACUAAGCCAAAAUCUGGGCUUAUCAGAUUUCAGCAGUGGGUAAACCGGUAGAUGACCAUGAUCUUAUUUCCUUUGUGAUAAGUGGUUUACAUACUUAGAAUUCUUUUGUAACAGCCUUUUAUUUUGCUGUUAGAGAUCACGAUAUGUCUUUCUGCUUUUGAUUUCUCAUACAAUCCUUUCAUAAAUAUAAAGCAAUUAAACUAUUGUACAUGCAGACUA
Molecule: long non-coding RNA, 887 nt
Organism: Alnus glutinosa
Lineage: Eukaryota; Viridiplantae; Streptophyta; Magnoliopsida; Fagales; Betulaceae
Exons: 2
Source: RefSeq, a predicted model, not a curated record